CAAAGGUUUGGUCCUGGCCUUACUGUUAAUUUUUAUUAGACCUACACAUGCAAGUCUCCGCAAUCCAGUGAGUAUGCCCUUUUAACUUAUUCUGAGUUUUAAGGAGCAGGUAUCAGGCACACUUUUUCGAAGUAGCCCAUGACACCUAGUUCAACCACUCCCCCACGGGUUACAGCAGUGACUAACAUUGAGCCAUAAACGAAAGUUUGACUAAAUCAUAGUAAAAAGGGUUGGUAAAUUUCGUGCCAGCCACCGCGGUCAUACGAUUAACCCGAGUUAACAGAAGAACGGCGUAAAGUGUGUUUAAGCAUUUAAGUGACAAAAUAAGGUUAAAACUCAACUGAGCUGUGAUACGCCAAGGUUGAUAUUAAAAUACGCAACUUACGUGACUUUACCUACUGCUGAAGACACUAAAGCUAAGGUACAAACUGGGAUUANAGACCCCACUAUGCUUANCCGUAAACCAAGGUAGUUGAAUAACAAAACUAUUCGCCAGAGAACUACAAGCUACUGCUUAAAACUCAAAGGACUUGGCGGUGCCCUAGACCCUCCUAGAGGAGCCUGUUCUAUAAUCGAUAAACCCCGAUACACCUCACCUUUUCUAGCUAUCAGUCUAUAUACCGCCAUCGUCAGCUCACCCCAACAGGGUGUCAAAGUGAGCAAGAUCAUCGAACCAUAAAAACGUUAGGUCAAGGUGUAGCAUAUGAAAAGGGAAGCAAUGGGCUACAUUUUCUAUAUUAGAAUACUACGGAUUGUCUAUUGAAACAAGGACAUGAAGGAGGAUUUAGUAGUAAAUUAAGAAUAGAGAGCUUAAUUGAAAUAGGCAAUGGGGUGCGUACACACCGCCCGUCACCCUCCUCGAUAAAGUAAGACCAUAUAUCUAAUAANAAUACGCAAAAAAGAGGAGAAAAGUCGUAACAUGGUAAGUGUACUGGAAGGUGCACUUGGAUAAUC
Molecule: non-coding RNA, 954 nt
Filed under: Murexia naso (Long-nosed dasyure)
Lineage: Eukaryota; Metazoa; Chordata; Mammalia; Dasyuromorphia; Dasyuridae
Description: partial small subunit ribosomal RNA
Rfam family: Bacterial small subunit ribosomal RNA
Source: RNAcentral